Molecule: unclassified non-coding RNA, 3107 nt
Filed under: Hevea brasiliensis (rubber tree)
Lineage: Eukaryota; Viridiplantae; Streptophyta; Magnoliopsida; Malpighiales; Euphorbiaceae
Source: RNAcentral
GUCAAAGGCCUCACUGCGAGCAGUGAGCAUUGAGCUUAACCCACCUGAGAGGGGAAUGCUCUCUGCUGCUAAUGUAACGCAGAAAGGAAACUCCGCUCCAUCACCGAAUAAAUCUCCAAUGAAAACUCUAAUUUUGGCAGAUCCAAUUAGCUACACAAAUUUCCAAUCAUCCCCUUCAAAUUUUAUUUUUCACUUUCCAUCACUUUCACGGGGAAGUAAAAAAUCCAUUCAUGUUUCCCAGGAAAAAUCUCUCUUCAUUCCCAAACCCACCAACUGCUCCUCCAUCAAUUCGCCUGUCACCUCUAAUUCAGUCAAUUAUGGUGGUUGGGACGAUCUGAGACUCGGCGGUGAUUUGGUCAGCUCGGGUGAGUCAACUCUGCUUCGUGAUUUUCUGGUUUCUGGAGGAAUUGAUGAGAAAAAACAUGUUUUUAUGUUUAUAUUGGGGAUUUUCUGCGCUUUUGCCAUUUCUAGGGUUAGGGUUUCGUCAAUUAUCGUAUUUCCUGCCUCUGUAUUGAUUUUUGCUAUUGGGUUUUCAGUUGGGUUUUUCCGUGGUGGGAGUUUCAAUGAAUUUAGUGUGAAUGCAAGUAAGAAGAGGGCAAAAGAUGAAAACUUUAGGUUGUAUGCUGAGAGAUUGAGGAGUUUGGUUGGGGUUUUUGAUGGGUUUGGUGCUAAAUUUAAUGAUUUGAAGAAUGCUAUACAAAGAGCUAUUGAUACUAAAGAGAUUGACGUAGUUGAUUUGGAAAAUUAUAUCAGUGUCAUUGAAUCAAUACAGGCAUCGGCAUUGAAUUCCAAAAAUGUUGUCGAGGCCACCAUUGAUGGUCUAGGAAAUUCUGUCAGUGUGUUGGAAAACCAGAAGUCAUCCGGUAGAAAAAAGAAAGAGAUUGCAGAAGUUGGGUUUGAGAUCUUGCAAUUUGUUGGGGGUUUGUUUGGUGAGAAACUGGUUGACUCAAAGCCUAAUAAAGUGAAAGACAAAGACAAUGUUAAGCAAGUGGCUGUGCAAGGUUUAGCAAAUGAUCAAAGUCAAGGCAACAGCCAGGGUUUAGCAAAUGAUCAAGCUCAAGGAAACAGCUCGACUAUGGUGAUGGAAGGAGGGAUUCUUAAUUCUGUUGAUAAUGACAAAGGAAAUAGGCCUUCCAUGUUUUCUCAAGGUUUAACAAAUAAGUCUGCUUUAGAUUGGGACAGUGAAAGAAGAAUCAGAAUAAUAUCAGAAAAUGCCAAAAUGAACAGAGGAGAAAAAGCCGGGAAUGGAAAAAGAUAUAUUGAUGCUGAAGAGUUUUCUUACCAAAGUAGCAGAUUGCGGUUUGUAGAUAAUCAAUCUAUCUCUUGGAAGAUGAACCAAAAUAAAGAAAAUGAAACAUGGAAAUCCCAUGACAAUCUCCGUAACUCUAUGGAUUUUGAUUUCAGUUACAAACAUAUGGAAACAGAAUCUUCCUUUGUACAAGAGCAGAUGUUGAAGCAAUCUAGUGCAGGUUACAAGUCUUCUCACAGCAGGAAAAUUAAUGAAGAUGAAACUUAUAGAUCUCAAUUCAGAGAAGAGGAGCUAAAUGAUGAUUCCUGGUUGCCUGAUCAUCAUUCAGUAUCAGAAAGUGAAAUUGGUUCCUCUUCAUCUUCAAUGGUUUCAGAUGAUGUGAUGUUUGACAGUUAUCUUACUGAAGCAAACAACCUUCUGAAACAAGCCAAGGAAUGUAUAAGGGGAAAACAUGAUGAAGAGCAUGUGGAGAUUAUACUAUAUAAGUCUGCCAAGUUACUCUCUAAAGCCCUGGCGAUGAAGCCUAUGAGUUUGUUGGCCAUUGGCCAAUUGGGCAAUACAUAUCUCCUUCAUGGAGAACUAAAAUUAAAGAUCAGCCGUGAAUUGAGAACUGUCCUCUCAAGAAGGGAUCCCUUAUUGUUUGAAAACCAACAUAGAAUAGUGAAAGGCUUAGAUGAGCGAGUAACAAAUAAAGAUAAAAUUGCAUCUGCUCUUGUUAAUGUGUGUGAAGAAUGUGAAGAACUUCUUGUGGAGGCAGGCAGAAAAUAUAGGAUGGCAUUAUCAAUUGAUGGGAAUGAUGUAAGGGCACUAUAUAAUUGGGGGCUUGCUCUCUCUUUUCGUGCUCAAUUGAUUGCCGAUAUCGGACCAGUAAGUGUUAACUAUGACAUUAUCAGCAUUUGUAGUAGCUUUUUUUACAACCAUAACCAUUGAUAAAAAGCAACUCUCAUCCUAUUAGCCUUUAGGUGAGCUUGGUUUACCCUUGGUUGUGUGUGUGUUCUUAGAAUUAGCUCAGCUAGGCAGCUUGCUCCUAAGCAAUUAACAUUUUGUGCUGAGUCCUAUAAGUUGCAAUCUGUAUGUUGUUGAAUUUCAGGAAGCUGCUUUUGAUGCUGACAAAGUGUUCUUGGCUGCAAUUGAUAAAUUUGAUGCGAUGAUGUCCAAAGGCAAUGUUUAUGCACCAGAUGCUUUGCUUAGAUGGGGCGUGGUCCUGCAGCAAAGAUCUCGAUUACAGCCACGGAAUAGUAAAGAGAAGGUUAAGUUGCUAAUGCAAGCAAAGCGACUCUAUGAAGAUGCACUCAAUAUGGACUCUAACAAUCUCCAAGUAAGAGAAGCUUUAUUAUCAUGUGUAGCUGAGCUUAAUCGCAGGCUCCUUUAAUUGCUAGAAGUAAUGCGCUCAACAACCCCUCAAUUUUAUCCUCUCCUUGGCCCUCUUGGUUUUCAUUGUUGGGAGUUUUUAUUCACUGGCCAAUCUUAUAUUCUAUGUACAGAAACCAAUCUUACUGUUCUACACAACAAUUAGCCAUCAUCAAAUCCAUGGAACCAAUGUCUAUCAGUUCUCUUUCCUCUCACUCCUCACACCCUUCCUUUUCAGGGCAUGUUCAACUUAGACCACAAAUGAUUAUUGUCAUUGAAAAUUGGUUUUGUUGGUUUUUUCUUAUAAAUAAUGAGGAAUGGAUUGUUAUAAAUUAUAAUUUUGUACGGAGAAGGUAGGUUAGGGAGAUGGGGAAAAAUUUCAGGGUGGUAACUCUGUGUGACUAGAAUCAUAAUGGUCCAUUGCUAGACAUUUCAGUUGUGCAUUUAUGCUAUUUUGUAUUUUCUCCACACGAUAUGAAUGAAAAUAAUGUGUUCUAUUGAGUCCGAG